GCGUGCUUAACACAUGCAAGUCGCACGAGAACGCUUCAGCUUGCUGAAGUUAGUAAAUUGGCGCACGGGUGAGUAACGCGUGGGUAAUCUUCCCCCGAAUUGGGGAUAACAUUGCGAAAGCGAUGCUAAUACCGGAUAAUAUCCUAAGUACUCAGGUACUUAAGAUCAAAGGUGGCCUCUACAUGUAAGCUACUGUUUGGGGAUGAGCCCGCGUACCAUUAGCUUGUUGGUAGGGUAACGGCCUACCAAGGCUGCGAUGGUUAGCUGGUCUGAGAGGAUGAUCAGCCACACUGGAACUGACACACGGUCCAGACUCCUACGGGAGGCAGCAGUGAGGAAUUUUGCGCAAUGGGGGAAACCCUGACGCAGCAACGCCGCGUGAGUGAUGAAGGCUUUCGGGUCGUAAAGCUCUGUCAAGUGGGAAGAAACCACCUGGUGCUAAUAUCACCAAGUGCUGACGGUACCACUGAAGGAAGCACCGGCUAACUCCGUGCCAGCAGCCGCGGUAAUACGGGGGGUGCAAGCGUUAUUCGGAAUUACUGGGCGUAAAGAGCGCGUAGGCGGUCUUUUAAGUCAGGUGUGAAAGCCCGGGGCUCAACCCCGGAAGUGCACUUGAAACUAAGAGACUUGAGUAUGGGAGAGGGAAGUGGAAUUCCUGGUGUA
This 663-nucleotide ribosomal RNA is filed under the name uncultured bacterium. RNAcentral describes it as "bacterial SSU rRNA". It matches the Rfam family "Bacterial small subunit ribosomal RNA", at positions 42 to 677 of the family's 1533-position model. The record is from RNAcentral.